UACGUAGGGAGCAAGCGUUGUUCGGAUUUACUGGGCGUAAAGGGCGCGUAGGCGGCCUGACAGGUCACUUGUGAAAUCUCCGAGCUUAACUCGGAACGGUCAAGUGAAACCAAUAGGCUAGAGUGCAGAAGGGGCAAUCGGAAUUCUUGGUGUAGCGGUGAAAUGCGUAGAUAUCAAGAGGAACACCUGAGGUGAAGACGGGUUGCUGGGCUGACACUGACGCUGAGGCGCGAAAGCCAGGGGAGCAAAC
RNAcentral lists this ribosomal RNA (250 nucleotides) under uncultured bacterium. Its description in RNAcentral is "partial 16S ribosomal RNA". It matches the Rfam family "Bacterial small subunit ribosomal RNA", at positions 524 to 773 of the family's 1533-position model. The record is from RNAcentral.